This 574-nucleotide ribosomal RNA is filed under the name Paracostantinella sp. J-YP-2008a. RNAcentral describes it as "eukaryotic LSU rRNA". It matches the Rfam family "Eukaryotic large subunit ribosomal RNA", at positions 62 to 648 of the family's 3401-position model. Lineage: Eukaryota; Fungi; Ascomycota. The record is from RNAcentral.
AAACCAACAGGGAUUGCCUCAGUAACGGCGAGUGAAGCGGCAACAGCUCAAAUUUGAAAUCUGGCCCCUUCGGGGUCCGAGUUGUAAUUUGUAGAGGAUGUUUCGGGCACGGUCCGGGCUUAAAUUUCUUGGAACAGAAUGUCAGAGAGGGUGAGAAUCCCGUCUGGAGUCUGUCGACACGGCCUAUGUGAAACUCCUUCGACGAGUCGAGUUGUUUGGGAAUGCAGCUCUAAAUGGGUGGUAAAUUUCAUCUAAAGCUAAAUAUUGGCCAGAGACCGAUAGCGCACAAGUAGAGUGAUCGAAAGAUGAAAAGCACUUUGAAAAGAGAGUUAAACAGUAUGUGAAAUUGUUGAAAGGGAAGCGCUGGCAACCAGACUUGCGCGUCGCGGUUCCCCCUGGCUUCUGCCUGGGUUACUCCGCGGCGCUCAGGCCAACAUCGGUUUCGGGGGUCGGUUAAAGGCCCGGGGAAUGUACCUACUCUUCGGGGUAGACUUAUAGCCCUGGGUGUCAUGCGACCUCCCGGGACCGAGGAACGCGCUUCGGCUCGGAUGUUGGCGUAAUGGUUGUCAGCGAC